RNAcentral lists this small nuclear RNA (20 nucleotides) under Arabidopsis thaliana (thale cress). Its description in RNAcentral is "snRNA_06534". The record is from RNAcentral. Lineage: Eukaryota; Viridiplantae; Streptophyta; Magnoliopsida; Brassicales; Brassicaceae.
UUGAUGGGAGUCCGGCUGUU